This is a long non-coding RNA of Amblyraja radiata (thorny skate), 276 nucleotides long. RefSeq lists it as uncharacterized. The transcript is spliced from 3 exons. The record is from RefSeq and is a predicted model, not a curated record. Lineage: Eukaryota; Metazoa; Chordata; Chondrichthyes; Rajiformes; Rajidae.
UAUACCUUAACGAAAACGGAAGGAAAACAUCAUGCCAUGUUAAUAGUUGGCUACGGAAAAGAGAGAAAUAAUCCGUACUGGAUCGUGAAAAACAGCUGGGGAAACACCUGGGGUGAACAGGGAUACGCACGGAUUUAUCGAGGAGCAAAUGUGGGCAAGAUUGGAAAAUACUCCAGGUCCUCCAUCGUGUGAGGGAGACUCGACUCCUCUCCUCUCCUCUCCUCUCCUCUCCUCUCCUCUCCUCUCCUCUCCUCUCCUCUCCUCUCCUCUCCUCUC